Molecule: ribosomal RNA, 253 nt
Filed under: uncultured bacterium
Lineage: Bacteria
Description: partial 16S ribosomal RNA
Rfam family: Bacterial small subunit ribosomal RNA
Source: RNAcentral
GACGUAGGGGGCCAGCGUUGUUCGGAAUUACUGGGCGUAAAGGGUUCGUAGGCGGUGCGGCAAGUUGGGAGUGAAAUCUCUGGGCUUAACCCAGAGGCUGCUUCCAAAACUGCUGUGCUUGAGUGUGGGAGAGGCGCGUGGAAUUGCAGGUGUAGCGGUGAAAUGCGUAGAUAUCUGCAGGAACACCCGUGGCGAAAGCGGCGCGCUGGACCACUACUGACGCUGAGGAGCGAAAGCGUGGGGAGCAAACAGG